UAAGUACUCCCUCCAUCCAAUAAAGGAUGUCUCAACUUUAACCAAAUUUGAAUGCAUCUAUACACUAGGUAAUGUCUAGAUACAUUCAAAUUUUAAAAAACUUGAGACAUCUUUGUUGGGCGGAGAAAGUAGGUU
Non-coding RNA from Brachypodium distachyon (stiff brome), 135 nucleotides. The record is from Rfam. Lineage: Eukaryota; Viridiplantae; Streptophyta; Magnoliopsida; Poales; Poaceae.